UGCAGUCGAGCGGACCGACGGGAGCUUGCUCCCUUAGGUCAGCGGCGGACGGGUGAGUAACACGUGGGUAACCUGCCUGUAAGACUGGGAUAACUCCGGGAAACCGGGGCUAAUACCGGAUGCUUGAUUGAACCGCAUGGUUCAAUCAUAAAAGGCGGCUUCGGCUGCCGUUUACAGAUGGACCCGCGGCGCAUUAGCUAGUUGGUGAGGUAACGGCUCACCAAGGCGACGAUGCGUAGCCGACCUGAGAGGGUGAUCGGCCACACUGGGACUGAGACACGGCCCAGACUCCUACGGGAGGCAGCAGUAGGGAAUCUUCCGCAAUGGACGAGAGUCUGACGGAGCAACGCCGCGUGAGUGAUGAAGGUUUUCGGAUCGUAAAGCUCUGUUGUUAGGGAAGAACAAGUACCGUUCGAAUAGGGCGGUACCUUGACGGUACCUAACCAGAAAGCCACGGCUAACUACGUGCCAGCAGCCGCGGUAAUACGUAGGUGGCAAGCGUUGUCCGGAAUUA
Molecule: ribosomal RNA, 514 nt
Filed under: Bacillus sp. CSu3_3
Lineage: Bacteria; Bacillati; Bacillota; Bacilli; Caryophanales; Bacillaceae
Description: bacterial SSU rRNA
Rfam family: Bacterial small subunit ribosomal RNA
Source: RNAcentral